AUAAGUAUUUAACUUUGCUAUUUUUUUUUUGAGAGAGAUAGAUAGCACGCUACCUGCUUCGUUUAUUUCAUUUAGAAAUAAACUUAGCUGGAAAUGUGAAUCAACUAGGAUUCGAACUUGAGUCUCGGGUACCAACCAUCAAGUCCUUUGCCACUUGCUCUAUGAACGGACGGUAAGUAUUUAACUUUGCUUCUCUAAGUUUGAACAUCCAUACAGUAAAAAUUUGAGCUCCCCAUAGAUUAACAAUCUCACUUUAGCUAUUUUCCACCUGUAGUAACACCGCAAAGAUAUUUGUAAUGCCUCUCAUCUUAGAACCGGCAUGCCCAACAAUCUAAAACAGUAUGAAUUGUUCUGACAUCCUUGGCUCAAAUACAAUAUUGUAGUUUCGUGACCCCGCUUGCUACGAAAUAACUAGUAAAUAAGUAUUUUAUUAUGAGACGUAUAAUAAACAUUUUAUAGCUAGACUUCACGUGUAAUAUUUUCUUUGUUGGUUAGGAACAAGUAACCUUCUAUAUUUAGUCACUCUAAGUAGUUUUUAUAGGGCAAUUGUAUAUAUACUUCUGAAAAGUUUCCGACUUUCUAAUUUAUCUCUCUUAGAAAGCUAAUAUUGAAAAUAUUUUUUUUGCGUUCCAACCUAUUUCAAAUAUACGAGUUAAAUUUUGUUAAUGAACGGUUAACAAACUGUUAUUUCUAUGAAAUUACUAUUUUGCCCUUUCAAAUAUACCCUUCUACUAUCACCGACAUUUUUUAUUUGCCCUUAAGUUAAAAGUAUUUUGAUUUUUAAUCUUUUCAAAUAUACCCUACUACCGUCACCAACAUUUUUUAUUUGCCCUUAAGUUAAGGGCAAAAUAGGUAAUUUAUUUAUUUUUUUUAACUCUGUUAGAUAUUUAACUUAUAUUUAACUCAAGUUAAUUUAACGGGUGGUAACUGCAAAAGUAUUUUGGAAUAAUGAACAAACAUAUGAGGGGUAUAUUGAAAAGAAAAAAAAUAAAAAUAAUAAGAUAUUUUUAAAGUUUUGAAAGGUAUUUAGGCAAUUAUCCCUAGUUUUU
This 1049-nucleotide long non-coding RNA is filed under the name Ananas comosus (pineapple). RNAcentral describes it as "long non-coding RNA (ACOM_LNC020965)". Lineage: Eukaryota; Viridiplantae; Streptophyta; Magnoliopsida; Poales; Bromeliaceae. The record is from RNAcentral.